RNAcentral lists this ribosomal RNA (412 nucleotides) under uncultured bacterium. Its description in RNAcentral is "bacterial SSU rRNA". It matches the Rfam family "Bacterial small subunit ribosomal RNA", at positions 505 to 916 of the family's 1533-position model. The record is from RNAcentral.
GUGUCAGCCGCCGCGGUAAUACGUAGGGAGCAAGCGUUGUCCGGAUUUACUGGGUGUAAAGGGUGCGUAGGCGGCUAUGCAAGUCAGUUGUGAAAACUAUGGGCUCAACCCAUAGCCUGCAAUUGAAACUGCGUGGCUUGAGUGAAGUAGAGGUAGGUGGAAUUCCCGGUGUAGCGGUGAAAUGCGUAGAGAUCGGGAGGAACACCAGUGGCGAAGGCGACCUACUGGGCUUUAACUGACGCUGAGGCACGAAAGCAUGGGUAGCAAACAGGAUUAGAUACCCUGGUAGUCCAUGCCGUAAACGAUGAUUACUAGGUGUGGGGGGUCUGACCCCCUCCGUGCCGGAGUUAACACAAUAAGUAAUCCACCUGGGGAGUACGACCGCAAGGUUGAAACUCAAAGGAAUUGACGG